GCGCCCGUACCUCAACGGAUAGAGGAGCGGUCUACGAAACCGAAUGUUGUGGGUUCGAAUCCCGCCGGGCGCGCCA
RNAcentral lists this transfer RNA (76 nucleotides) under Anaerolineae bacterium. Its description in RNAcentral is "tRNA-Arg". It matches the Rfam family "tRNA". Rfam says of the family: Transfer RNA (tRNA) molecules are approximately 80 nucleotides in length. Their secondary structure includes four short double-helical elements and three loops (D, anti-codon, and T loops). Lineage: Bacteria; Bacillati; Chloroflexota; Anaerolineae. The record is from RNAcentral.